GAUGAGAACCUCCGGGGGCAGGGAGGUUCGACUCGAGCGAAGCGAGAGAACGUUGCGCCAGCAACGGCCCGCAGGGCGAGCCACGAAGUGGCGAGUAAUCCUCUAUCACCGACCA
Molecule: small RNA, 115 nt
Filed under: Escherichia coli
Lineage: Bacteria; Pseudomonadati; Pseudomonadota; Gammaproteobacteria; Enterobacterales; Enterobacteriaceae
Description: partial RtT sRNA
Rfam family: RtT RNA
About the family: This family represents a bacterial cis-regulatory element known as RtT RNA. The exact function of RtT is unknown although it is thought that it may be involved in changing the cellular response in relation to amino acid starvation.
Source: RNAcentral